GGCAACCAGAAAGAUGUGAAGAUUCCGCCAUGUUGGUGUGGAGAUGUUUGCAAGGUGAAGGAGUCCACCGACCGAAAUAAGUCAUGGACGGAAGGAAGGAGAUAUUUUGUUUGCCCCAAUUAUGCUUACGAUCGUGCGCUUCCGACUAAUGCCUAUGACCUUCCACCGGUAUGCUAG
Molecule: ribosomal RNA, 177 nt
Filed under: Triticum aestivum (bread wheat)
Lineage: Eukaryota; Viridiplantae; Streptophyta; Magnoliopsida; Poales; Poaceae
Description: partial small subunit ribosomal RNA
Source: RNAcentral